UACGAAGGGGGCUAGCGUUGUUCGGAAUUACUGGGCGUAAAGCGCGCGUAGGCGGGCAUUUAAGUCAGGGGUGAAAUCCCGGGGCUCAACCCCGGAACUGCCUUUGAUACUGGGUGCCUAGAGUCCGGAAGAGGUGAGUGGAAUUGCGAGUGUAGAGGUGAAAUUCGUAGAUAUUCGCAGGAACACCAGUGGCGAAGGCGGCUCACUGGUCCGGUACUGACGCUGAGGUGCGAAAGCGUGGGGAGCAAACAGG
RNAcentral lists this ribosomal RNA (253 nucleotides) under uncultured bacterium. Its description in RNAcentral is "partial 16S ribosomal RNA". It matches the Rfam family "Bacterial small subunit ribosomal RNA", at positions 524 to 776 of the family's 1533-position model. The record is from RNAcentral.